AGGAAAACAGUUACUGGAUUCCCUGCAAGGCCAAAGGUGAGGGACAGAGCCAGGCAGCUAAAAAAAGUGAAUGCUGAUAGAAAUGAAAAGCUGAACCAAAGAAGGAGGCCAUUUGCAGAAGAAAACUACAACACCGAAAGUUUAAUUUGUUCUGCAGUGGCCUACAUAGAAGGCAAACUGCCACAGCAGAUUAGACGAGGGGUCCACUGGGGCUGCCGUGCCAGCACCGCCGCAGCUAUCUCUAAAAGCGCGAGAGAAAUGAUGCGUGUGACCUGGAGUGACAAACGGGAAGAGCACCUUGUGGUUCCCUGAGAAGCUUCACUGGGGAGAAGAGGAAGUGACUGCAGCUCCAGUUGAAUCUCUCACCCCUCCCAUAACUGAGAUGGACCAAGAGGACUCAAGGGUCCACAACACUUCUCCUGCUGAGGAAGGGCUCAUCAAGACAGGAUUAAGCAAGGAACACCUUGGCUACAACAGCCAAAGCACCUUGGUGUGACAGCUAAAAAAAAAAAAAGAAAACCAAAAGCUCUUGCCUCCCUCUCCUGCCCCAUUAAAAAUUGUCUUCUCCACACCAAGAAGCAACUUCAGCAAACGAGAGGGAUUCGGGCAGUGGCAAAAAACCUUGCUACACGAGCGGCCCCAACCCAAAGGAAACAUUGGGUCGCGGCAGGUCUCCUCUUAGGACGCUGGAAGUUGCUGACUGGCAUUUUCACAUUACAAGGUGCUACAGUUCGAAGCUUUUCGCUUAGCUGAAUGCAAUACCUUUGCCGCCCUACCCCCACGCUCUUUUGAACACAGGACUAGCCCCCCAAAACCCCUCUUCUACACACGAGGGCUUUCUGUUCCCUUCAGAGGCCGAACGCAAUUGCGGGUGCAUAGCUGGGCGACCAAGAAGGUUUCGGCUUACGUCUAAGCCGGCACUCCAGAUUCAAUCAGAGGUAGCUGGUGGCACUUGAGCCGCAUCUCCGGGAACCUGCCCGCUUUAGUGGCAACCUGAGACAAGGCAAGGACGCGAACGUGGCCCUGCCGAUCGAUGCCCGCCCUGCGAGCGGCCAGAGGCCGGCAGCUCGGGGCGGGCAGGCGGCGGGAGCAGAGGAACCUCACACAAACAAAAGGUGCGCGCUGACGUUAAUCUCCGCUAACGAAGCCUGCACAGAGCCCGCGCUCUGAGUCACCCGGCGCAGCGGCGAGCCGAGAGAAAGCUCAUGAAUCAAAGGGCCCUGCAGAAAGCUCAUGAAUCAAACCACCCUGCCGUAACGAGGGGAAGCGGUGCGGGCAGGGGGAGGGGAGGAGAGCGGCUCAGGGCUUGCGUCAGACCCGCAGCCGCUGCCUCCGCGCUGCCCCUGCCGGCCGGGCAGCGGGACCCGCCGGCGGCCUCGCCUGGCCCCGCAGGCCUCGCCCAGCAGAGCCGUGCCGGGACAGCCGACGGGGUGCGGGAGGGCCUCAGCAGGGCACAGCUCCGCCGUGUGCACCGCACCCCGCGGGAGAGGAGCACUCUUACACAGGGCAGCUGAGAGGGGCACUCUCACACAGGACAGCCGCCGGGGAGUGGGGGAUGACCAGAGCAAGCCCCUGGGGGGAGCGCUGUGAGUGUGCGGCCAAGUCUCCGUAACCAUUUUGUUCGGUUAGGUGCCCAUGUGUAAGGAAGGUCAGAGCAGAAGCAACCAGCUAUGUAGAUCAGGCCAUAAAGAUAAUUUUUGCAGCUUCAAGUGACACAAGUACAUACACCUUAACCUGUUUACCAUGGCAGCAACACGUGGGCACAGAGGCUCCUUUCCUCUCCGGUCAAUUGAAGACUUGGGACAGGUGGACAGCUGCUGGGAAAUUGGUUCCAGUUCUUUUGUAUAAUCAAAUGUUAAGUUUACAUAAAAAGUAUGUCAAAGAAGAGAACCAUAAACCACCUUUCUCCAUAAUAUAUACCAGGCAGCAAAACAUAUGUUUCUGACCAUACAGAAACAAGAGGGUUUUUUCACAGCUCCAACCUGCUUUUCUGUUGGCUGAAUUCUCAACAUGCCUCCAGGCUGGGCGGUGAGGGGUUUGAUGUGGCAAUUCCAGGUGCUGGAGCAAUUACACACAUCUUCACAGACACAAAAUCCUGGAUUAUUGCAAGGUAGGCCAGAAACGAAAGCCAAGAGCCUGCAAGCAAAUUUUGCAGUCUUUCAGGCUGGCAGGAGGAAAGGCCUUCACCAAAUACUCAGGUGGCUCCUUGACAGAAAAAGACAGAUUAAGCUGAUGGAAGAUGCAUUCAGAGCCCACAUGCCUUGCAGAAGUGGCAGAUAGUGCAAAGCAAGCCUGCUAUCAAUAAAGUUGCUGUGGGACAUUUGCUUCUCCUUUAUUUAUUUUUUGGAAAGAGGAAAAAAAAAGAGAAAAGCAGGCCAUUUUGCUGACUGAUGCAGAGGGGCUGACCAUACAAACGCCAUAGUGAAACACACAGUAUGGCCAUCCAAAUCAUGGGCCUGGGGAGCAGGAAUAGCUACUAGCCUCUCCUAGCAGAGUCAUCAAGAGGGAAGAGGAGCUUUCCUGUGUGAAUGCAGUACUUUUCUUAGUGCUUACCUGAAAGAUGAGUGGGGUUUGUGAUGAUAAACAAGCAUAAAAACCGUGUCCGGGGGAUGUUCACUUGAUAGAUACUAGCUUACUAGCACUUUCAAGAGAGACGAGCAAGAAGGAAACAGAUUGGCA
Parus major (Great Tit) is the source of this 2679-nucleotide long non-coding RNA. RefSeq lists it as uncharacterized. The record is from RefSeq and is a predicted model, not a curated record. The transcript has 2 exons. NCBI's taxonomy places the organism in Eukaryota, Metazoa, Chordata, Aves, Passeriformes, Paridae.